CGGCAACAGCUCAAAUUUGAAAUCUGGCCUCGGCCCGAGUUGUAAUUUGCAGAGGAAGCUUUUGGCGAGGCACCGACCGAGUCCCCUGGAACGGGGCGCCGUAGAGGGUGAGAGCCCCGUAUGGUCGGACGCUGAGCCUCUGUAAAGCUCCUUCGAC
RNAcentral lists this ribosomal RNA (157 nucleotides) under Staphylotrichum sp. Its description in RNAcentral is "partial large subunit ribosomal RNA". It matches the Rfam family "Eukaryotic large subunit ribosomal RNA", at positions 99 to 261 of the family's 3401-position model. Lineage: Eukaryota; Fungi; Ascomycota; Sordariomycetes; Sordariales; Chaetomiaceae. The record is from RNAcentral.